This 253-nucleotide ribosomal RNA is filed under the name uncultured bacterium. Its description in RNAcentral is "partial 16S ribosomal RNA". It matches the Rfam family "Bacterial small subunit ribosomal RNA", at positions 524 to 776 of the family's 1533-position model. The record is from RNAcentral.
GACGGAGGGUGCAAGCGUUGUUCGGAUUGACUGGGCGUAAAGGGCGUGUAGGCGGUUUGUCAAGUCGGGUGUGAAAGCCUGGGGCUCAGCCUCAGAAGUGCAUCCGAAACUAGCGAACUGGAGCGCGAUAGAGGAGGGUGGAAUUCCUGGUGUAGCGGUGAAAUGCGUAGAUAUCAGGGGGAACACCGGCGGCGAAGGCGGCCCUCUGGAUCGUUGCUGACGCUGAGACGCGAAAGCGUGGGGAGCAAACAGG